RNAcentral lists this long non-coding RNA (308 nucleotides) under Chrysemys picta bellii (western painted turtle). RNAcentral's name for it is "lncRNA (ENSCPBG00000026415.1)". The record is from RNAcentral. Lineage: Eukaryota; Metazoa; Chordata; Testudines; Emydidae.
ACCGAGUGUUAAAAGGAUAAUAAGGAUUGAAGCGAUCACGGAGUGCAGCCGUGCUGCCUGCUACUGUAGCAGCCUUCGAGCAGAGGUUCAGAACGUUUUUGCUUGAUGCCUGGCUCUCUGCAGAAUAAGCCGCACAAGGAUUUUGAAAUUUGCUGCAAAAUCAUUUUGAAUCCACCGGAGCUUCAAUGAUGAAUCACCAAAGCUUUACCUCCCCGGGGGAAAACCUAAUCCCAAUGCACAGCUCAGCUAUACACAGAAGCCCAUGCAAUGUGGCCCUGACCCAAUAGACUUCAAUGAGAUUUGGAUCA